Molecule: long non-coding RNA, 1075 nt
Filed under: Junco hyemalis (dark-eyed junco)
Lineage: Eukaryota; Metazoa; Chordata; Aves; Passeriformes; Passerellidae
Description: lncRNA (ENSJHYG00000005090.1)
Source: RNAcentral
UGAGCUGACAAUUUGAGAUGGGUGUGCUGGGGUUAUCUGCAGUGUCAGUUCAGUCAGAGAUGAACUGAACUCCAUUUCUCUGGCUGGAAGUCUAAACCAACAGAGACCUUGGAGAUAAUGAGGUAUUUAACGGGUUCCCCCUUUUCCUUGCAGGAGAUCUCAUCUUUCCUCGAAGAAUGAGAGCUUGAAAGGAAAAGGAAAGGAAAAAAAGGAAACUACAAAGGGGAAAAUAAAGCAGAUGUAAAGGGAAAUUUGCUCAGUAAAUUAACUAUAAGAGCUGCAUUAAUGCAAUCGAACUAAUGGCACAUUUUCCUCCUCAGUUGGAACAACAAAGUCAGAUAAACCACACCACCCUCUUGUCUCCCAGGCUGUGGUUCAUGGAGAACUGGAAGACUACAGAGGGCUUGCUGGAGUCCUUGGAGAGGAGCUGUUUAUGGACCAGAGCUGAAAGGCCAAGACUCUGAGCAUCACAUUGGUUUUAAAUUGAGAAGAUGUUGUAUGAAAUCCAGCUUUAUUACCCAUGUGCGGGCAGAAGAAAGGUAAAGAGCUGUCUCCAAGGAGUGGUGACUCUGCCCUGCUGCCUUGUUCACAGGCUGUGCAAGGACACAAUUUCAUUUCAUGAGGAAAUUUCAUUUGGGCCUGUGGAAAAAUCCUAUUUCUCACCUGUGCCCAGGUGAGCAGCGGCUGCGCUCUGCCUGCGGCUGCUCCCCGGUCCCGGCGCUGUUCCCGGCUGCGAGGGAGCCUCGCCCUUAUCGGCAGCAUCUGAAACGUCCUCAGGAUCUCUCAGCAUCUCCUCGCCAGUCGGGAGGGUGUUUUUAAUCACUCCCGACAGGAAAUAGCAUGCUGCAUUUAAAUACUGUAUAUAAUUAUCAUGGGAAAUAUAAUUAGGAAGUGUAAUUAAAUGGGCUUGAAUGUAUAUCAGGCUGUUUCUUGAUUUUUCACUCGAUCCAGCUGUUUCUCACAGGCUCUUUACUUUGAGCACUGGUGGUCUGUGACAGAACCUCUGCACAGAAUGGAGGAAGAAUUACUUCUUUAAAGGCUGUUCAUUUAAUCUAACUAGGCCAAUUUAUUUAAA